ACCUGACUGCUAUCGGAUUGAUACUAAGCCAUGCGAGUCAUUGUAGCAAUACAAGGCAUACGGCUCAGUAACGCGUAGUCAACCUAACCUAUGGACGGGAAUAACCUCGGGAAACUGAGAAUAAUGCCCGAUAGAACACUAUACCUGGAAUGGUUUGUGUUCCNAAUGAUUUAUCGCCGUAGGAUGGGACUGCGGCCUAUCAGUUUGUUGGUGAGGUAAUGGCCCACCAAGACUAUUACAGGUACGGGCUCUGAGAGGAGUAGCCCGGAGAUGGGUACUGAGACACGGACCCAGGCCCUAUGGGGCGCANCAGGCNANAAAACUUUGCAAUGUGCGAAAGCACGACAAGGUUAAUCCGAGUGAUUUGUGCUAAACGAAUCUUUUGUUAGUCCUAGAACCACUAACGAAUAAGGGGUGGGCAAGUUCUGGUGUCAGCCGCCGCGGUAAAACCAGCACCUCAAGUGGUCAGGAUGAUUAUUGGGCCUAAAGCAUCCGUAGCCGGCUCUGUAAGUUUUCGGUUAAAUCUGUACGCUUAACGUACAGGCUGCCGGGAAUACUGCAGAGCUAGGGAGUGGGAGAGGUAGACGGUACUCGGUAGGAAGGGGUAAAAUCCUUUGAUCUAUUGAUGACCACCUGUGGCGAAGGCGGUCUACCAGAACACGUCCGACGGUGAGGGAUGAAAGCUGGGGGAGCAAACCGGAUUAGAUACCCGGGUAGUCCCAGCUGUAAACUAUGCAAACUCAGUGAUGCAUUGACUUGUGGUCAAUGCAGUGCUGCAGGGAAGCCGUUAAGUUUGCCGCCUGGGAAGUACGUACGCAAGUAUGAAACUUAAAGGAAUUGGCGGGGGAGCACCACAAGGGGUGAAGCCUGCGGUUC
This 876-nucleotide ribosomal RNA is filed under the name uncultured crenarchaeote. RNAcentral describes it as "bacterial SSU rRNA". It matches the Rfam family "Archaeal small subunit ribosomal RNA", at positions 21 to 903 of the family's 1478-position model. Lineage: Archaea; Thermoproteati; Thermoproteota. The record is from RNAcentral.